Molecule: long non-coding RNA, 2791 nt
Filed under: Homo sapiens (human)
Lineage: Eukaryota; Metazoa; Chordata; Mammalia; Primates; Hominidae
Description: HSALNT0183631
Source: RNAcentral
UGGAAAGGGAGGGAAGGAACUCAGGGGGUUUAGGGACAAGGAAAAGACAGCCUAGCCUGGGGGAACACCUGCGGGCUCCUGAGGCCUGGUAGAUGGAUUUAGAAGGACACAAAAGGGUCACUGGGCAGCUUUGCAGAGAGCUCAGCGUGGUGCUUGUCACUCCUCGUUUAUGUGGUUGCUCCAUUUACAUUCCCCCAGUGGUCCAGGCAGCUGCAGAGGCUGCUGGGUCUCUCUCACUGCUCGGGAACAAGGUGAAGUCAAAUGGAAAAGCUCUGAAGGAGAGGAGCAGGACAGCUUGGUGCACCAGUGGAGUGCAGGAAGGAAAGGAAAGAGAAUGAGAAAGCUGAGAGAAAAAAAGUCAUCAAGGAGAAAAAAAUGGAGGAAAAGCUAAUACACAGAAAAGGAGACAGACUCAAGAAAAAAGAAAAAGAAAAAGACAAAGAAACAGAGGGAAAAGGUAUCAUGCAUUUAAAAAGAUGGUGCUACAUGGUGUGUUGGAAGGCUAGUGACCUGUUAGGCACUUGGAAAAAUUUAUGCAGCUUCAAGGCUCAUCUCAAAAGCUAACUCUGAGGCCUUCUUGACCUUCCGAGCUGUGCCGGGUCUCUCCAUCCCCUGUGGGCUCAUUAGAACUUGGAUAUUCCUUUAAUGCAAACAACACAUGGAAAUAGAAUGGACAAUCAUUCCCAUUUAGUUGUCAGCUGUUCAAGGUCAAUACUUAUGCUCUGUUGAUCUCUCUAACCCUCUAGAUCUGGUGCCUGGCAUGCUGUAGCUACCAGUAAAUGAGGCAACAGUCUUCUGGAAGCUGCACUUCUAUUACACAUAUACUGAUGUUCACCAAGAAGAACACACCAAAAAGAUAAAUUUAGUUAACAUUGAGCCUGUGUAUAAAGAGACACACUGGAUAAAGGAUAUAAAUUUAGAUGUUAUAGCAUGGAGGAAGUAGGGGAGAGAGGAAAUGACGCUAAUUGAGCAACUAGUUUUUACCUGGUACAACACAAAGUCUUAAAUAUGUUAUCUAAUUCAGCCAUCAUCACAACCCCUGCAGGUAGGUAUUUAACUCCUUAGAUGGCUAUUGUAUUCUUUUCUCUACAGGCCCUAUUUUAGAUGAUAGACUCUGAUGGUGAACAAGAGAAGCAGAGAUCUCAUUGCUUGUUUAUACACAAUCUAGCAACUAUUCUACAGUUCAGACAGGACACGUGAAUUGACUGGCUUUACAUAGCUCCCAAAAAUUCACACACGAAUUGACUGGCUUUACAUAGCUCACAAAAUUGACUGACUUUACAUAGCUCACAAAAUCGACUAGGUUUACAUAGCUCAUUUAAGUCUGGCCUGUGUGGCUGUAAGGUCUACUCUCUUUAUGUAUUGUAGGUAACAUAUAUUCCAGAAGUAACCCAGGAAACUCUGAAAUUUUCAUUUUGCAACCAAGAAGGGCAUCCAGGAAAAGCUAGCAAUUCUGGAGCGUUCUGGGACCUCCAAAUAGUCUUUGGUGAUGUUUAACAGCCUCCGUAAUUUCAUCAGUUAGUGCUGGGUUCGGGAUGAGGCAUUACAUGGCGGAAGGCGAGGGAUGGUUCUCUGUCACUUUAAGUCCUAAAUUAUUUUCAGGUGUUUGUUUCGAGGCAGGACGGGGAGGCAGCCUGCCAUUUAGUGGAAAGGGUGGACAUGGCCUCCUUUAGACCUCUCAUCAGAGUUACUGUUUCGAGUAAUGAAGAAGCACGGGGAUUGAUUUGAUGCCUAAUGAAUAAUCAGCUGCCAUCAAUAAUUGUAAUCACUAAUCUGGUGCAAUUAGAGGCAAUUAUAAUAAAUGCAAUUUCCUCUCGUGCCACUAACGAACUACAGAAGUAUGAAUUGACUCAAGGGGGCUGGCAGUGAUUUAUGUGAUUGUGAGAUCAUGAAUCCCAUUAUCUUGGGAAAGACUCUUAAAGGGGCAGGGUCCUAUUCUGAUGUCACCGCUUCCUAAUGAGAAGCUAGAAAAUGCAAUUCUAGAGGUAAUGAGCACAGAGGCUACUGUAUUUCUCUCACAACUGGCUUUAGAUAAGGGCCUUGUGCAGAUUCAGCUGGGCUGCCAUGCAAAGGCCUGUUCCUUUAAGUUCUGUUUACUGUAGUGAUACACCUUUAAGUCUUGAAGAAUGAAGAUGAAAUAUUCCAAACUAUGCUGCACAAGAGGAUGUGAACAGAAACAUCUGGACGGAGAAGAUCUUUUUUAUAUUCAGCCAUGCCAAUUGACCUACUACCCUCUCCAUAGCCAAAGGAAUGCCCAAAUUUCCACAGAAAGGCAUUUUUAUAUGAAGAAGCUCAUCCCUGUGGACCUUUCUCUUGAAUGCCUACUAUGAGUCACUCAGCAAGAGAGGCACCCAGCUCCCUCAAGGUCUGCAGUGCCUCGGAGGUAUUCAUACUGAGCUUUCAUCCCCCAGGCCCACUUCCCUCCAUGACACAGUCUCUGAACAUAUUAUUCCUCACGGAUGAUCACCUUCUUAACUCCAUCCAGACGUGUGCCUCUGUCUCACUAUUUAGCGUUGUCCUAGAAAAUACUGAGUAAUUGUUUCAUGCGUAUACAUCAUGUUUCCUCAAGUAGAAUCUACCUUUAUACAAUCAAAAGUGUCAGAUUGAUGGAUGAGUAGCAGGUAAAUUUCUGAUAAAGAGAAUUAAAUUAAGUGUUAAUUGUAGAAUCUAGUGAUGGGUUUAUGGGUCUUAACUGUAAAAAUCUUUCAUCUUUUCUGUAUGUUUGAUAACUUUCAUAUAAAAAUAAUAAAAACUUUAGUUUAUCUUCUAUGUAAUUACAUGUUUACUUAAC